CAAAGUGCUCAUAGUGCAGGUAGU
This 24-nucleotide non-coding RNA is filed under the name Xenopus tropicalis (tropical clawed frog). RNAcentral also lists the same sequence under 6 other names. The record is from RNAcentral. Lineage: Eukaryota; Metazoa; Chordata; Amphibia; Anura; Pipidae.